AAACCACUGUUCUAAAGGAUCUAUUGUGUUUUUUUUUGUCAAGGACAUGAAGGUAAAUUUACCUUCUACAUGACUUUCAUACUUGUUUUACAUGUAUACAAUUUAAAGCAUUAAACAAGCUAGUGGUUGCAAUGUUGAGGUUGUUCAAUGAUUUAAAGGGGAACUAUGCAACUUUUUUGGCUUAAUUUACCUUAAUAUAACAGGUUAAGAGUCAUUGUGAUGGUUCUAGAACACUUUAUGAGUCGAUUGGUCCCUGUUUCGACUCCCCCUUGGGCUUCUUGGCGGAAAAAGGGAAUAUGCAAGUUUCUCCCAGCGACCCGCCGCCCACUCUCGCAGGAGUCUCGGGUCUCGCGAAGCACCGAAUUGCUUUAUGGCACUACAGACCAACAAUGACGGAACCGGUGUAGGUACCACCAGGGAGUGUCUAAUAUGAGGAGAAUAAGCACUCGCUGGUUAGUUCCGGUUUUCUGGACUGGUUGCAGUAAUAAUAUCUGUCCACGCGGGGCGCUCGCAGGCGAGUCCAGAAUGAAUGGGAGCCUAUGGGGUUUUACCCUCAGAAUCCCCUUUUCUCACAAUGUAAUUAGUAAUUUUGUAAUUUGAAAAGUUGCGUUCAAAAGGUGAGGCUAAGAUAAUAAACUCAGCUGAAUAUUGCAUUUUUUAAGGUCAUGUAUCUGUUCUAAAAAGGUGUUUAAAAAAUGCGAUGACGUCACACAUUGUCAUACUGUCAGAGAUACUGCUUUACGGCAGUGUCUGAAUCACUUCGGCACUUCCGCAUCAUUCCCUUUUCUCGUGGCAUCCGCAAUGAUAACAAGCUGUUGGAGGUAAGGCUUUUUUUGCGUAAUACACCCGUUACAGAGUUUUAGUGAGCUAAUGAAAAAAAAAAAGAAAGGCGCGAAUGUUUUACAUAUGUAUGUUACUUACAGAGUGUUUUUUUUUAAUCCUCACUAGUGCCGAUGAUAAAGCUUAUUUUUUAGUAACGACAUCGCUAUUGAUUUCUAUCUAGUGCUAGCUGCUAUCAGCUGGCUGUCGGCUGAUUAUCUAUCUUUCUCCUGAAAUAGAAACCUGGAUUUGAAUCAUAAUUGUAACUUAAGACUGCAUAAACUUAGUUUACAUCAGUAAACAAUCUCCUAGAGAGCACAGUGUUCUGUUCUCCUCCUCAUGCUUCUUCCUUUCUUGAUCUCUACAGUUGGACCUUGAUGCUGUGACAACGGACAAGUCUUCUUCCUCUGUCCUUUUCCCCUGCCUCUGUUCAGUAUGUUCAGUGUUGUUGAAUAAUUUCUAAUUUUUUUGUUUAUUUACUAUUAGUUACUGUUCUUGUUAGUGUGAUGUUUGAAUAAACUUGCCUGUUGCUAUGUUGGUAUAAUGUUUGUAUAAUUAUUGUUUCAAUGUGUUACGUGCGUGUUUUUCCUCUGCUGUUUUGUGUGCUGUUCCAGGUACCACCCUCCCCAUCCGACUGAUCAGACACACCUGCAGCCCCUCAGCAAUCACGUGGAUUGCUAUAAAGCUGCAGGGAUGAAAGCCGACAUGGCCAGUGGGCCAGAUAGGCGAACAGAGUUGGGGUCGCUGUCGGUCGCGAGUCAGAGCUACGUGGGCUCUUCGUCGUGGCAUUGCUCCCUCAGUGGAGGGAUAGUGUUAUUGGUUCUUUCUGUGUUAAUAUAGGACUCAGUUAUGCAAUAAAUGGUAUAUUGGUUGAAAUCCUGCUACUCUCUUCUGUUCUUUAAACACCCGGUUUUAUAUUAAUUGUUGCCCCCCCCCCUUCCCCCUGGGCACCAACGGGGUGGGUCGUAACACAAUGUGACCUAGACCAUACUGCUCAUUUAACAAACCAACAUGUGUAGCUUAUAAUGUGUUGCAGGGCAGAGAAAUUAAAUUCAAUGGCUUAAAAUAAACCCAUCUGUAAAGAUCAGUGAAUGCAUAGAAAUCAAUGACAAGUGGUGCAGAUGGUUUUCCCUCUGUGCAAGGUCAUUAGCCCAUGACCUAGUAAGUCCUACAAAAAAAAACUACAGUAAUAGAAGAUGUUGAAGUUGUUAAAUCGUUAACAAACAAUUUGUAUGGAACAAUCGGUUAAGGUAAGUUAAGUGCUUGAGCCUCGACACUUUAGAGAAUGUCUAGCGCGCAACUUGAAUAAGCCAUGUGAGAUUUUACCCGGGCUCCAGCGCAACUUUCCUUACCAGGUGCAGCCUCAGGUAGCCUAGGACCAUUCAUACAGGAGCAAGCAACAACGUUACCUUAUUCUGUCCUUGGGAAACGAAACAAAGGACGAUCCGUUUCCACUGAUGGAGCAGUUUAUCAUUGCACAUUUACAAGGCUUUUUUCUUUUUAAACUAUCUUUAUUUUCGAAAAAAUAGACAAUGACGAAUGAAAUGAUAUUGAGCGGGACAUUGACUGUAUUAUUUAAGGUUGUCAUACCUCAUGUAUAUAACACAUUGAACAUUGAACACAAGAAAUGGAAGAAAUUCCAUUUGUACCCAUGUACUUUACCAUACAUAACUAUAAAAAAUAAAAGUGCCUGCAGGAAAAUAUAAAUACAGUACGCAAAAAUUAACUUCGACGGAAAGUCCUCCGAUUGUGCUUCAGCUUCAGAUGUCAUCAAGAGGGGUCGCUGGUCGUAAUCAGUCGCAAGUCCGUCCCUGACCAAUCAGCAUUCAUUAGCAGAAUGCUAGCGUGUACGGCCAACAACGGCCCAAACUGUAACAAAUCGAAAGGACAUAAGUACUCAUUCAUUUGGCUUUUGAGCUAUAAUCUAUAUUGAACUUGCGGAAUCUACAAUACAAUUUGCGAUAUUUCAAAGACAAGCAAGGAAGAGAUAUAUUUAGCCGUCUAGCCCCAUAGACUUCCUUUCAAUCUGGACUCGCCCGCGAUCACCGCCAGUGGAUGUCUAAUGGAACUACAACCAUGAUCGGUACAAUGGGGCAUAUAGGAAGUAUGGAAAGCCAAGAAGGCCACAAACUGGCCAUAGAAUGGCGCAGGAAAAGUGCUAAACCGCACGGAAACCGUACGGAAUCCGUGCGGUUUGGCAGGAAUUCCAUACGGAAUCCACAUGGAUUCCGUACAUUUUUUGCAUACCUAAUAGCCGCGGCUAUUAGUGUGAGCGACCACAGCUUGUAUUUUGGUCAUAUCUUAACACUGGACUGUAGGCCUUUAUAAAGUGUUGUACCUUCACUGUCUUUGGGUUAAAAAAAACUCCUUCAACUCAGUAUCCGUCCAACCGAAAACUCUGUCAGCUGCUGCUGCAGACGGUGUGCAGACAGGCUCGGAGUCGGCACCUCGUGCAUCAACUGUCUUUCAAAGCAGCGGUAGUAAUCACUCAACCGGACGGUGUAGAAAGUCCCGUCAGUUAAAAAUAGUAAUCCAGUUUUUAAAUACAUGUUAAAAUCGGCAGGAUAUAGAGCUAGUUAGCUUAAAAAAAAAGUCGCAAACAGUGUCAAAUGUGAUGGUUUCAGGUCGGCUCAGUAAGAUGAAUUGCUGCCACCUCCACUCCACCUGCCACCUCCACUCCACCUGCCGGCUCAGCUCCACCUGCCGCCACCUCCACUUCAGAGAAAUAUGUUGCAGAGGCUUGGGACGGCAAAAAAAAUCAUGUUUUGCUGUCCAGAAUUGGUCCUUACAAGCUGUUUUAUUUGGACAUCUGUAGGACAACUCCGGGUCAGGAAUUCGAGAGUGAGGUAAGCUUCAGUAUUUUUGUCUCCUUUAGUUAACUCAUACAACAAGGAAAUCUCCAAAGGCUAGUACACCAUAAGUUAACUGACUUCAUUUUCAAAUGGAUUUGCUUUCCCCAGGUGAUUAAUGCCACGCUCCUUAGAAUGGUCCCAAAGCAUAAUAGCCAAGGGGGCAAAAAGGCACUUGCCAUUGAUACAUACACAAUGACAAAAAUAUGGAACAGGAAGACUGCAAUUCUAAGGAAAUGUAAUCCAUCAUUGUAUGGAGUCAUUCUGGGGAUAGUGAAUGACCCAAAAUAUUGGAUACUCACAGUCAUCUUCCCCUCAGAACAGAGGAGCCUUGUGCUGGAUCCACUCGGCAACGACGGCUCCAAGAUAAAAAGAUGUCUACAGACCACAAGAGCAUUCAUGAGAGCAAGGAGCUGAAUGGUGUCCAGGUGGGAAGCAAACACUGUGCCACAUAGCUUACAGCAGGAUUUCACUUCAUGUGGAAUAUUUGCCAUCAAAUAUGCUGAGAAAGUCCUGGCAGAGGAGUCUCCUACUUUCCCAAACUCUGAAGCGGCAGUGGUUAACUACAGAUGGGGAAAAUUCUGUAACACUUCUCAAUGAGGCUGAUGAUCUCAGUGAGCUGUGCCACUGCUGUGGAGAGGGAGAAGAAGCGCGAGGAGGAGGGUCUCAAGACAGACCUGACGCCACUGACUGGAUCUAGUGUGUCACCUGUGGAAGGUGGUACCACGAGGGUUGUGUUGGGAGACCCGACAGAGAUCAUUUGUACAGCUGUCCUGCAUGCCCCCAGGCUCAAAUGUUCUAGUGACGUUUCUCAAGUUUUCCUGGUUCCAAUAAACGUCACUGGCGACUGACUGUGUUAAGUGUUAAUAUAUGUGUCAAGUGUUAAUAUAUGAUUACGCCCUUACUUUGAAGGGACAACGUGAUGACGUUACUACGUUCUUGUGAAGCAACGCGCGGGUCAACUGUCCCGUUGUUCUUUUGUUGUUGUUGGAACUGACUGGACAGUAUUCAGUCAUGUAUUCUAGAGAAUAA
This is a long non-coding RNA of Gadus macrocephalus (Pacific cod), 4700 nucleotides long. RefSeq lists it as uncharacterized. The transcript is spliced from 8 exons. The record is from RefSeq and is a predicted model, not a curated record. NCBI's taxonomy places the organism in Eukaryota, Metazoa, Chordata, Actinopteri, Gadiformes, Gadidae.